Molecule: long non-coding RNA, 762 nt
Organism: Gopherus flavomarginatus (Mexican gopher tortoise)
Lineage: Eukaryota; Metazoa; Chordata; Testudines; Testudinidae
Exons: 3
Source: RefSeq, a predicted model, not a curated record
CGGCCACCACCUCACCUUAUAUGUGCUGCUUCUCCAGGGUCCGGGCACCUAAUUAGUGGAGCCACGCCUGCAGGGCUCCACUAAUUAGGUGAGUGGCCCUUCAUUCUCUUGUGUGGCUGCCCAAGCACGCACCAUACAGGGAACUAUCCAUGGACCACCUGAACGGAGCUCGUGGACCACUGGUGGUCCAGGGACCACAAUUUGAGAACCUCUGAGCUAGGAGAUGGGUAUAGCACACCAUAGAGGUAUUUUUUUCCAUUGAAAUCUCCUUUGUGCAUAUCUAAACAUGAAAAGAACUGUGCUGCAUUUUAGGGAAGGCAGUUCAGCCACUGGCUUUAGCUGCUGCCUCCCAUCUCCAGUCAACAGUGCAAGUCAGAGAGGAAGGAAGAAGAAAAGCUAAACAGCACAGAUGACACCUAUCCAAGUCUCUGCUUAUUGAGGUUUCUGCUCAUUUAAUUUAUUCAGUUUUAUUUCAUAUCCAGGGUAUUAAUCUCCUGCAGAACUCAGGCUAUUAAUCUUGACGCACCUGGUGGCAUUUUAAGGAUCUGCAGAAGAACCGUUGGCUCAACCUACUGGGAUUAAACUGUCACCCAAAUCACUUUAUUUGUGAUCAGCAUGAUUUUGAGAAACCAAACAUUCACGAAAGGACACUCUUGAAUAGGAGUCUCUCAGAGCAAAAAUACAAGUAACCGCACUCCAGUUUGAGUCAUCAGGUAAAUUUGCUGCAAACUAUUUUUUCUGUCUGCACCUUUGGUUUUUGUA